CGUUGAAAAAAAGAAACCAACCUUAAAACCAACAAAGAAAAAGAAGAAGGAUUUAUCAACUUUUAAGCCGUCUUCAUCUUAAGAUUUCAAUAUUUAAAUUGAUGAAUUGGUUUAUUUACCUCCCAAGUAG
Molecule: non-coding RNA, 130 nt
Filed under: Thalassionema nitzschioides
Lineage: Eukaryota; Bacillariophyta; Fragilariophyceae; Thalassionematales; Thalassionemataceae
Source: RNAcentral